CGAGUCUAUUUUCCGAGGUAAAUCCUGGGUUAUUCCUCUCGGAGGGUCUAUUUUCCGAGGUAAAUCCUGGGUUAUUCCUCUCGGCGCGUCUAUUUUCUGAGGUAAAUCCUGGGUUAUUCCUCUCGGCGCGUCUAUUUUCCGAGGUAAAUCCUGAGUUAUUCCUCUCGGCGAGUCUAUUUUCCGAGGUAAAUCCUGGGUUAUUCCUCUCGGCGGGUCUAUUUUCCGAGGUAAAUCCUGGGUUAUUCCUCUCGGCGGGUCUAUUUUCCGAGGUAAAUCCUGGGUUAUUCCUCUCGGCGCGUCUAAUUUCCGAGGUAAAUCCUGGGUUAUUCCUCUCGGCGGGUCUAUUUUCCGAGGUAAAUCCUGGGUUAUUCCUCUCAGCGCGUCUUUUUCCAGAAACGAACAGUAGCCGAGAUGAACUAGAUGAAUCCUCACGCUUUGUGCACGGAGCUGAUGUGGGCGUUUACAU
Sinocyclocheilus rhinocerous is the source of this 466-nucleotide long non-coding RNA. RefSeq lists it as uncharacterized. The transcript has 4 exons. NCBI's taxonomy places the organism in Eukaryota, Metazoa, Chordata, Actinopteri, Cypriniformes, Cyprinidae. The record is from RefSeq and is a predicted model, not a curated record.